CUCUUUCUCUCCCCCCCCUCUCUCUCUCUCUCUCUCUCUCUCUCUCUCUCUCUCUUUCUCUCUUUAACUCCUCCUACGAGGUUGGUGAGUCGGUGCGUUCGCGGGUGCAGUGUCUCCUUGAAAAUCGAUACGACACCGGCGUCCGUGCAGUCUGCGCCGACGACGAAGAUAGCCGAGUCGGUGAACGAGAAACCACGUGGCGACAGAAACGUCAGAUCGCGAAGGGCUCGCCACCUCGUGCUUCGAGCCCUCGACGAUCAAUGAUGUUGAAUAUCGACCGAUGGAUGGUUAGGAGAGACAGAGAAAGAAAGGUGAUGUCUGACAAUAAAACAGAGAGAGAGAGAAGUAGAUAUAUAUAUAUAUAUAUAUAUAUAUAUAUAUAUAUAUAUAUAUAGAGAGAGAGAGAGGAAGAUAGAGAGAAAUAACUACUAGACUUCAUUUCGUUCAUUAAUUCUGCCUGUCUCCAUAUUGGACAUAUCUUGAUUCAAUCAGAAUGAAUAAAAUGAUACUCAGACGAUAAGAAUAUAAAUGUCCAACGAUUGUCCAAAUAUAUUCAGUUUAUCUAGAAAGUUUCUAGGAGAGAACAUCGACGAUUGCAACAUCAUAGAAGAGAGAUAAAUAUCUUUCGUAUCUCGGCAGAAAUUUCUAUGUGAUUUUUAUUGUAACUAUCUCUUGCAAGUAGAUCGUAACAAGUAUGAAUGUAGGUAUAUAUUUAUAUAUGUGUUGAUGUAGAAUAUCGAAGGAAACCGACGACAGAACGGAGAAGUUUGUCGCGUUCGACCUGAAAACCCAAAGGCCCGCGUAGCCUCGACCUUGUCAACCAAAUAAGGACCUAUUCAAGGUCUUCGGAGCCUUGCGUAAGGCCCCCUUUUAUACCGUGCGAGCCAACGUUGGCAUAACGAUCAAGUCGAUUCUAUUAGAGAAAAUCAAAAAUAAGUAAGAAAAUA
Long non-coding RNA from Vespa mandarinia (Asian giant hornet), 947 nucleotides. The record is from RefSeq and is a predicted model, not a curated record. Lineage: Eukaryota; Metazoa; Arthropoda; Insecta; Hymenoptera; Vespidae.